CCUCCAGCGGCACCGCCGGCACCGACGAGGUGCUGCGGGAGCGGCUGCGGCGGCACCAGGUGGGGGCGGAGCCCGGCGGGGGCCGCACCGGGGCCGAGGCCUGAGGGGAGGGAGUGGGGGGGGGGGGCGGGACCCCGCGGGGACACGGGGGUCCCCCGACAUCUCCUGGGGGGGUCCCCAAAUGUCCCUGCGGGUCCCCAAGAGUCCCAUGGCCACUCUCGGUCAUCUCUGGGGGGUCCCCAAAUGUCCCUGGGGGUCCUGUGGCCGCCCUCAGCCUUCUCUGGGGGUCCCCAAGUCUCUCUGGGGGUCCCCAAGUGUCCCCAAAUGUUCCCAAGUGUCCCUGGGGGUCCCCCAAAUGUCCCUGAAGGUCCCCAGGUGUCCCCUGCCCACCCUUGGUCACCUCUAGGGGUCCCUAAGUGUCCCUUGGUCACCUCUGGGGGGGUCCCCAAAUGUCCCUGGGGGUCCCCAGGUGUCCCCUGCCCACCCUUGGUCAUCUCUGGGGGUCCCCAAGUGCCCCUGGGGGUCCCCACGUGUCCCAUGGCCACCCUCAGCCAUCUCUGGGGGUCCCCAGGUGUCCCCUGGCCACCCUUGGUCACCUCUGGGGGUCCCCAAAUGUCCCUGGGGGUCCCCAAGUGUCCCUGGGGGUCCCCCAAAUGUCCCUGGGUGUCCCCAGGUGUCCCAUGGCCACCCUUGGCCAUCCCUGGGGGUCCCCAAGUGUCCCUUGGUCACCUCUGGGGGGGUCCCCAAAUGUCCCUGGGGGUCCCCAGGUGUCCCCUGCCCACCCUUGGUCAUCUCUGGGGGUCCCCAAAUGUCCCUGGAGGUCCCCAGGUGUCCCGUGGCCACCCUCAGCCAUCUCUGGGGGGGUCCCCAAGUGCCCCUGGGGGUCCCCAAAUGUCCCUGGGUGUCCCCAAGUGUCCCCGGGGGUCCCCAGGUGUCCCCUGGCCACCCUCAGCCAUAUCCGGGGGGGUCCCCAAGUGUCCCCAGGUGUCCUGGGGAGGCUCCCCCCCUCC
Molecule: long non-coding RNA, 1010 nt
Filed under: Calidris pygmaea (Spoon-billed sandpiper)
Lineage: Eukaryota; Metazoa; Chordata; Aves; Charadriiformes; Scolopacidae
Description: lncRNA (ENSCPGG00000005748.1)
Source: RNAcentral